UACGGGAGGCAGCAGUGGGGAAUAUUGCACAAUGGGCGCAAGCCUGAUGCAGCCAUGCCGCGUGUAUGAAGAAGGCCUUCGGGUUGUAAAGUACUUUCAGUCGUGAGGAAGGUGUUAAGGUUAAUAACCUUAGCAAUUGACGUUAGCGACAGAAGAAGCACCGGCUAACUCCGUGCCAGCAGCCGCGGUAAUACGGAGGGUGCGAGCGUUAAUCGGAAUUACUGGGCGUAAAGGGCACGCAGGCGGUUAAUUAAGUUGGAUGUGAAAUCCCCGGGCUUAACCUGGGAAUGGCAUUCAAGACUGGUUAGCUAGAGUCUUGUAGAGGGGGUAGAAUUCCAUGUGUAGCGGUGAAAUGCGUAGAGAUGUGGAGGAAUACCGGUGGCGAAGGCGGCCCCUGGACAAAGACUGACGCUCAUGUGCGAAGCGUGGGGAGCAAACAGGGAUUAGAUACC
Molecule: ribosomal RNA, 452 nt
Filed under: uncultured bacterium
Lineage: Bacteria
Description: bacterial SSU rRNA
Rfam family: Bacterial small subunit ribosomal RNA
Source: RNAcentral